This 756-nucleotide ribosomal RNA is filed under the name Triticum aestivum (bread wheat). RNAcentral describes it as "partial small subunit ribosomal RNA". The record is from RNAcentral. Lineage: Eukaryota; Viridiplantae; Streptophyta; Magnoliopsida; Poales; Poaceae.
AUGGAGCCCAAGACGGCUGUUCUUGUCAGCGCAUUGCUUUGCCUGGCGCUCUCCCGCGGCGCCUUGUCCCAGAAGGCACGGGCGCCGAUCGUCGAGGCCCCGGCGCCGGCGCCGGCCCCGCGCUACGUCGAGCUCGCCGAACUGCUCUCCCUCGCCGGGCCGUAUGGCAAGUUCCUGGAGUACCUCACCAUGACCGACGUGAUCAAGACGUUCCAGAGCCAGGCCAACGACACCAAGCAGGGCAUCACCGUCUUCGCGCCCCAGAACUCGGCGUUCGCGGCCCUCAACGAGACCGUGUUGUCCAACCUCACCACCGACCAGCUCCGGUCGCUCAUGCUGCACCACGCCAUGCCCAGGUACUACCCGCUCUCGGCCUUCUCCAAGCUGGCGGCGGCGAGCCCGGUGUCCAUGUACGCGUACAAGGUGAACGUCACAUACGCCGCCGGCACGAUCGGCGUCGUGUCGGGCUGGGCCACCGCCAAGCUCGCCAGCAGCGUGUACUCGACGUCGCCCGUCGCGGUGUACGCGCUCAACAGGGUGCUGCUGCCCAAGGAGAUCUUCCCGGCCACCCCGGAGAUGGCGCCGGCGCCGGCGCCGGGACGUGGGGGCAAGGCGACGGCCGACGCCCCGGGCGCCAGCGAGCGUGCUGCCAGUGACAAUGCGGACGCCAAGAGUUCGUCGUGCCGGGUCGUUGGCGCAGGGAGCCUUGCAUUUGGCUACGUGGUUCUUCUGGUCUCCGGGCUUUUGAUGGCGUAG